GAUGAACGCUGGCGGCGUGCCUAAUACAUGCAAGUCGAGCGAACGGACGAGAAGCUUGCUUCUCUGAUGUUAGCGGCGGACGGGUGAGUAACACGUGGAUAACCUACCUAUAAGACUGGGAUAACUUCGGGAAACCGGAGCUAAUACCGGAUAAUAUUUUGAACCGCAUGGUUCAAAAGUGAAAGACGGUCUUGCUGUCACUUAUAGAUGGAUCCGCGCUGCAUUAGCUAGUUGGUAAGGUAACGGCUUACCAAGGCAACGAUGCAUAGCCGACCUGAGAGGGUGAUCGGCCACACUGGAACUGAGACACGGUCCAGACUCCUACGGGAGGCAGCAGUAGGGAAUCUUCCGCAAUGGGCGAAAGCCUGACGGAGCAACGCCGCGUGAGUGAUGAAGGUCUUCGGAUCGUAAAACUCUGUUAUUAGGGAAGAACAUAUGUGUAAGUAACUGUGCGCAUCUUGACGGUACCUAAUCAGAAAGCCACGGCUAACUACGUGCCAGCAGCCGCGGUAAUACGUAGGUGGCAAGCGUUAUCCGGAAUUAUUGGGCGUAAAGCGCGCGUAGGCGGUUUUUUAAGUCUGAUGUGAAAGCCCACGGCUCAACCGUGGAGGGUCAUUGGAAACUGGAAAACUUGAGUGCAGAAGAGGAAAGUGGAAUUCCAUGUGUAGCGGUGAAAUGCGCAGAGAUAUGGAGGAACACCAGUGGCGAAGGCGACUUUCUGGUCUGUAACUGACGCUGAUGUGCGAAAGCGUGGGGAUCAAACAGGAUUAGAUACCCUGGUAGUCCACGCCGUAAACGAUGAGUGCUAAGUGUUAGGGGGUUUCCGCCCCUUAGUGCUGCAGCUAACGCAUUAAGCACUCCGCCUGGGGAGUACGACCGCAAGGUUGAAACUCAAAGGAAUUGACGGGGACCCGCACAAGCGGUGGAGCAUGUGGUUUAAUUCGAAGCAACGCGAAGAACCUUACCAAAUCUUGACAUCCUUUGACAACUCUAGAGAUAGAGCCUUCCCCUUCGGGGGGCAAAGUGACAGGUGGUGCAUGGUUGUCGUCAGCUCGUGUCGUGAGAUGUUGGGUUAAGUCCCGCAACGAGCGCAACCCUUAAGCUUAGUUGCCAUCAUUAAGUUGGGCACUCUAAGUUGACUGCCGGUGACAAACCGGAGGAAGGUGGGGAUGACGUCAAAUCAUCAUGCCCCUUAUGAUUUGGGCUACACACGUGCUACAAUGGACAAUACAAAGGGCAGCGAAACCGCGAGGUCAAGCAAAUCCCAUAAAGUUGUUCUCAGUUCGGAUUGUAGUCUGCAACUCGACUACAUGAAGCUGGAAUCGCUAGUAAUCGUAGAUCAGCAUGCUACGGUGAAUACGUUCCCGGGUCU
RNAcentral lists this ribosomal RNA (1372 nucleotides) under uncultured bacterium. Its description in RNAcentral is "bacterial SSU rRNA". It matches the Rfam family "Bacterial small subunit ribosomal RNA", at positions 28 to 1381 of the family's 1533-position model. The record is from RNAcentral.